CGGGCUUCGAGUGUGCGCAUGCGUUAAUCCGCACGAGCCUGGCCCCACCCAGCGGGCCAGGGCGCGCAUGCGCGGGAAGGCCUCCGGAAUCACUGAGGCCGUGAGGGCUCGCGGCGCCUGGAGCAACGGACCAGGACACGGGCCGGGCCUGGCCUGGCCUCCGGCACCAUGAACCCCGCCUCUUACGUCACCGUCACACAGGAAAUCCGCCUCAAGCGAGGCCCUUCAGGUACAUUUAAUUAGGGGUUGGGAUUCAAUAUUAUCGGAGGAACUGACCACCGGUACUUUUGUAAUGAUUCUGCAAUCUAUGUUACCAAAAUUAAAGAAGAUGGACCUGCAGCUCUUGAUGGACGUUUAAAGGAGCAAGACCAAAUCUUAGCAAUCAAUGGGCGAGAGCUCUGCAACUUGACUCAUCAGGAAGCAGUGGAAAUAUUUCGAAAUGCUGGUGACGAGGUGACACUACUAGUCUUAAAAAAGAUAAAAUCCAAGAAUAACCAAAUCCACAUCUCUGGUUUCUCAUCACUAGUACUGACAGCGCUGGGUAUAUCAGUGUUGGCAAUGGUUGUAUACAUGAAAUAUCGUCAUAAGUUAUAAAAAUGAAAAAAAAAUGAUGUCUUUUCCUGUAGGGCAAUAAUGUUUAAUUCCCAAUAUUUGCUGCUGGUUGAGUGGCUAGCCAGAUGUUAACUUUGACAUUUGUUAACUAUUAUAGGAUUGUAAAGGGAAUAUGUACAGAAUGGCUGAGUCAUUUAUAGACCACAGAUAAUAAGUUGCCAGUUUAUCACCUUGCAACUACUUCCUUUUAUCUCCUGGAUGUAAUUUAUUUUUGUAACAGACAAUUAAACAUCUACUAUAAAUUUUAAGACACAAACAUGAAUGACAGUGUAACCUAUGUACUUGAAAUUUUUGUAAAGACACUUGGAAGAUUCUGCAGGAGUAAUCAAUCAAGUAAGGAUUUCACAGUUAUAUGACUUGGAAAAAUUAAGUUAAAUUUUUAGAAAAUUCAAUAAACUGCAUGUGUGAUCUCUUAUACACUGGAGUGGAUAGUGUUUAGAAUCCAGAUUAAUAAUCAACAUUCAGACUGUUAAUGUCUAUCAACAGCUGCUUUUGUAAGUACUGUCCAUAAACAGUUGAGAAAUCUGUUGGCAAAUGUAAUACCUGCAUUAUUUUGUUUGGAUGAAAUCUCAUUUCUCAAAAUGUGAUUGAACUAUUUUAAAACAUACAAUAAGUAUGGACAAAAUAAUGGUAUAGUAUUUCACUUAGCAAAUUUCCAUAGUCAUUACAACAGUGUACAAUCAAAGAUACCUUUGUAAUUUUUUAACUCGGCUUUUUUAGACAAAGCACAUGAAAACAUAGACUCAACUGUUGACAGAUGCCAGUAUGAGAGUUUAUAGUAUGCUAUGUUACUUGUUUUGUUUUCUGUCAUUCUUAAUUUUCACUACAGCCUUUGUAUUAAAAUCAAAUAAUUUUUUGUAAUUUUGGGUACUAUAAGUGUCACCUAAUUGGCAAGUUUUAAUGUGAUCUUUUGUGGAAUGGGAUAUUUUUAACUUGGUUAAUUUUCGUAUAAAAGGUUUUUAUCCUUUCUAUAUUAUAUUACAAUUUAGAUGUUUUGUUGCCCUAGUAGGCUUCCUUCACACUGUUCUUAAGUACAAGUGUCGGACAAAUCCCUAAGAAACUAGUUCUGCAUAUAAACAUGAGCAUUCCAUAACUUUAAAACUAUGUGUCUCUUUCAGCAUAUAAAUGUUUAUCUGCUGGCAGUUAAUUAUAUAUGUAGUGCUUCAGAUGAUUACUCUGGUGCAGGUCCUUUGGCUGCUGGAUAUACUACCUGUCAAAUGUUGCCAUAGGCUAAUACAAUUGCUGACCCUGCUUGAGUCACAUCACUUCACCAAGCAAUGGUGAAAAUUGUGGAUAAGCCUUUGGGGCUCACUGACCUACUGUUCCAGUUGGAAGAAACUGUGAGACUUGUUGCCAACUAAUUGAAUAAUGGAAUGACUUUACUUGCCAAAUGCUAUCAGUUUUUUUGAAUAAACUGCGUAACUGCUGAAUAAUAAUUUCUGUCCUUUGUCUGCAGGUGUGACCAACAAUUAUGUGACCUCUGUUCAGACUGCCUGUGGCCCACAAAAAUGACAUGUGCUUUCUCUGUCUUUUCUUUCCCAGUCAUUUUAAUACUUAAAUGCUAGCAUUGACAGUGCACUAAUCAUUGAUUAAAGUAGAUGUGUAUUUGCGAAAUACAAAUGGCUACUUUGUGGCAGAUAACUGACAAACAGUCUCAGCAGAAGUAUACAUUCUUUUCCCUUUCCUUUUGGAGAUUCAACAAUCCUGAAAGGGAAUAAAAUAGAUAAUGUGCUUUGCUUUGUUUGAGCACUAAUCCCCUCGAGCAGGCAUGUCUGAAAAUAGGCAAAACUGAUUUAACCGUUGCCUCUUGUUGGUAAGGUAUACCGGCAUUGGUAUACCGACAUAUCAAUACUUUCCCAGCGUACAUUCACGUAAGGUGAUCACAAGCCUUCAAUCUAAUUUCUUUUGUGUGUUUUUUUCAUUUGAAGCCUAUUUUAUUACAAAUCUAUUUUUGUGUUUUUUUUAAAAAAGCAAAUAUUGUACCAAAUACAUAAUUGGGGUUGUGCUUUUAUGCUUUAUGCUUUAACCCAAAUUUAGUUGACAUGUUAGUACCACACCACCUACAGAGAUUUGUGGGAUUGUAUAUAUUAGACCAAUAGAAUGUAUAUUGCUUUGGGUUAGAGGAGAAAAUUCAAGUUAUCUUCACAUCUCUACUCAAUUCAUGUGGUUUGAAUAGCAAAUCAAAUAGCAAAGUUUUGCUUCUUAAAUUUAAAGAAAAUAUGACUUCAUUUCCACUGGAAUUCUUAAAGAACUUCAUCUGUAGUAGUGACAAGGGCUCAUGCAGAAACAUUUUCAAGUUACACCCUGCACAUCUUGUGAUAGGGUUAGAAUAUGCUGCUCAUACGUCUCUUAAGUAAAAGAGUACUUCAAUAUAAAGUGUAUCUUGGCAGUAAAUAGGGUCCUAUCUGCAGAAAUCUGAUUAUAAAUUCAAAUUAGCAUUUCAUAUAUUUGUAAGUGACCCUCUGUAUUAGCUACUAUGAACAUUUGGAGCCUAUCGUUAAAUUCUAAACCUUGACCUAAUUAAAAUGUCUUACCAUCUAGCUGAACUAUUCCCUGCUUCUGUACGGAAUCUUUUGCUAUUUAAUAAUUUGCCAACGAUGAAUGUUUAGGCAGGGAUAUAUAUGUACUAUAUAGGUUUAUAGACAUUUAUGCUCAGUAAACAUGGGACACUAAACAUUAUAGUAGCAGUACAUCCCUCAUAAUUGGUAUUAGCUUUGUUUGUUCUUGAUCCUUUUUAUUAUCCAAGAUUCUGUUAUUUUCAUUUUAUCAUAAAGCUUGUUUGUAACCCUGUAAGGUCCUCAAGAAUUGGCUUUCAAGAAUUGUUCUGAGGAUAAAAACUGUUUCAGUUGCACACAUUAAAUCGAUAACUGAAUUUGGAAAAUAAAUGUAUAAUUCUGCUAUUAAACUAAUAUACCUCACAAAAUCCAUAAUAGAUCUGCUAAAAAUAUUUAAAACUUAUAAUAAUUUUCAUGUAAAUGUCAUUUAACAGAGGUGUUUCAUCACCAAUUUAAUCCUCAAUUUGUGUGAACUCAAGGGAUUAGUAAAUGCCACAUAAAUGGCAAUUUAUGUUUCACCACUGUACCUUCCAAUAUUGUGCUAAUAUAGGCUAUACAUUGGUAUGAAAAUCUUCAUUUGGUGCACCAAAUCAUUGAUAACUUUAACUCAAAUGUAGAUGUUUCUUUCAUGCUACCGUUGCUGCAUCUGUACACAUCAACUGUGCUGAAACUGUUUUCCUAGACCCAGUGCCUACAGUUGGACAAAUGCCACAUGUGUCCUUUUAGUAAUGAAGAAUUUUCUGUUUAACGAUGUUUUAAUAUCUGUUUCAAUAUAAUAACUUUUUCUUUGAGGGUAAAAAUAAACUGCCAGAAUUGACCAUUUUAAUGGGUGUGCAAUCAAUGGUCAUUUCCAUCCUAGAGUUUGAUUUUUACAUAGUAACUUGGUUGGCCUGAAAUGCUGCUAAAUAACUUUAAAAACUGUAUAAUGAUUCAAAAAAUAGUCUUUUAUGACUAAGCUAAUGUUAAUGAGCAUGUUAUGAAGGUCUAAUCUGUCACUACAGUUUAAGUAGUUGCUUGAUGAAAAUUGUGACUGCUGUAAAAUAAAUGUCCACAUUCAAAUUUAUUUAUAUACAAUUCCUGUACAAGAAAUGUCUGAAAUAGAACUUAUUGUAAUGCUAUUCAUAAAGCGACUUGUUAAAUAUUGACUUUUUUUUCAAAC
Molecule: non-coding RNA, 4326 nt
Organism: Chiloscyllium plagiosum (whitespotted bambooshark)
Lineage: Eukaryota; Metazoa; Chordata; Chondrichthyes; Orectolobiformes; Hemiscylliidae
Source: RefSeq, a predicted model, not a curated record